RNAcentral lists this transfer RNA (87 nucleotides) under Papillibacter cinnamivorans DSM 12816. Its description in RNAcentral is "tRNA_Ser_TGA". It matches the Rfam family "tRNA". From Rfam's summary of the family: Transfer RNA (tRNA) molecules are approximately 80 nucleotides in length. Their secondary structure includes four short double-helical elements and three loops (D, anti-codon, and T loops). Lineage: Bacteria; Bacillati; Bacillota; Clostridia; Eubacteriales; Oscillospiraceae. The record is from RNAcentral.
GGAGAGAUGUCCGAGCGGUUUAUGGAGCUGGUCUUGAAAACCAGUGACCCGAAAGGGCCGGGGGUUCGAAUCCCUCUCUCUCCGCCA